This 75-nucleotide transfer RNA is filed under the name Nanobdellota archaeon. Its description in RNAcentral is "tRNA-Arg". It matches the Rfam family "tRNA". From Rfam's summary of the family: Transfer RNA (tRNA) molecules are approximately 80 nucleotides in length. Their secondary structure includes four short double-helical elements and three loops (D, anti-codon, and T loops). The record is from RNAcentral. Lineage: Archaea; Nanobdellati; Nanobdellota.
GGGCCCGUAGCCCAGCCUGGAUAGGGCGACAGCCUUCUAAGCUGUAGGUCGAGGGUUCAAAUCCCUCCAGGCCCA